This is a long non-coding RNA of Phyllopteryx taeniolatus (common seadragon), 681 nucleotides long. RefSeq lists it as uncharacterized. The transcript has 2 exons. NCBI's taxonomy places the organism in Eukaryota, Metazoa, Chordata, Actinopteri, Syngnathiformes, Syngnathidae. The record is from RefSeq and is a predicted model, not a curated record.
GUUAUGGAUGCUUUAUUUGACGAGUACCUUGAGUGUUUACAGUCACUUUUAUGAAAAAGUGUCACGUAGAAGUCGCGGGGCAGCUGCCAGGGAAGCAAGAAAAGAGAACCAGCCAGAGACCGGUGGUUUCUGGUCUGCCCGCUGCAGAGUGCUUGCUCGCCAGCCGCAAGAGAGCGGACGUCAGCCCUGGAGGUGGAUUUGGAAAAACAAGUCGCAAGGGGGGCAUUUCAGGAUGAAGCGCCCGCCCCCCUUCCCUGCUUGCUUGCACCCCCGGCUCCCGCGACGUCCACACGAAUGGCUGCUUUCUGCUUCGGUUGCCCAGCGCUGAAGGUAGACGGCGCCCGAUGGCAGAGGCACUGCGACAGAUGCCGGUGGCUGUGGUAACUAGCUAGCUUCCUCGUUUGAUAAAGAAGGCUGAGGUCCCAGCCAGCGAGGAUUUCCGGAAGGAGAAGCGCAAUCUUCCAGCUGCACCCAGCAAUAACCCAAUGCAGAGCUGUGGCGAAGAGGCACAUCUUCAUAAAAAUAACACUAAACACUCAAAGUACUCAUCCAAUAAAGUUUCUCUAACUAGUUUGUUACUUCAGGUAGUGAUAAACUAUGUUCAAGGGUCCAUUUCACUGUAUAAGAUGUUUUGCAUACGUUAUUUGACACUAAAAACACAGUUUUAUUUUGGUACGUCCA